Long non-coding RNA from Candoia aspera, 1235 nucleotides. RefSeq lists it as uncharacterized. The record is from RefSeq and is a predicted model, not a curated record. NCBI's taxonomy places the organism in Eukaryota, Metazoa, Chordata, Lepidosauria, Squamata, Candoiidae. The transcript is spliced from 3 exons.
CCGUGGAGUUCGUGUGCUGGGCGCCUUCCCCAGAAAUGCGCUUCCCGGCUGCCUUCGGACGACACGCCGGUGGCUGCUCGCUCUGGGUGCUGGUCUGUCGUGCGAAGGCAGCCCCUGCUGGGGAAGGCUCGAGGGUUGCGUGAACUCCGGCAAACUUCGAAGCGAGCCGAGCAAGAACGCCCUCCGUUUCCAGGAAGAAAGGACCCCUUCCUCCUUAAUGAAAACCAUCCUCGGUCCACUCCCGUCUUUAGGGAGAAAUGAGAUUCCCACUUAUUUAUGGGAAACAAACAAGAAAUGGUCGAUUUGUUUCCCCACAGGACGAAGAUAAUAAGAAGCAGAACAAGUUUGCAAACAUCAACCAGGCCGGUUUUGCUCAAAAAAGAGGGCAAUCUGCUAUAUUCCAAUGGGAAAAGCCUGGUGGAAUUGGGUGCAAUCUGGAUGGUGCCGGGCCACCGGUGGGAAGACUCUUCCAGCCUCGGAUCUGGACUGGCUGCUUCCAAUCAGGGCUUGUGAAUCUGGGGAGCUUCAGAACAGAAAAAUGGAUGCUCCUGGGGACAAAAAGCUCUUCUUUCUUGACAACCUUUCCAAACUUGGUUACCACUAAUAGAAGGCCACCUACAGACAGCACAUGACAUCCAAUAGCUGCUGUGCUGAAGAACAUGUGGCUGAUGAUCUCUGCUGUAUUGUGCUUGGGGACUCCCUGUCUCAGCAUCUGGAUCUAACUAGCAGCAGCCAACGCGGUUGGCUGUCACUGGAGCUGAGGGCGUCUCCUUCCUCUGCUCCUGCAUCCAACAAGGGUUCAUAAUACAGAAGGGGAGUGAACCUUCCUAGUUUUCUGCACCAGUUUCCCAAGACGUUGCUGCCUGCCUGCCUGAAAUCAGUAUCUUUUCUUUUUCUGUUCUCCAUAGCAAAAACUUACAUUGCUCCUACUUGGUAACUCAGAAGCCACCUUCAAGCCCUGGCUGGCAGAACACACAACUGUUCAUCUGGGGUUAAUGUUACCCUUUCCCAUUAAAAGUGUCACAUUCUUCUCUCAUGGCCCAUUUUGCUUCAGAUUCAGAGGGGUGGGUGGGUGGCUGGUCCUGACACAAGGUUCAUUAAUGGGCAUUUGCUGAGAAAGCAAGAUGGCAUCUUUAAUAAAAGGGCCAUUCCGAAGAUGUAUAUGGGGCUGCUGACCAAAUCCAAACCACAGUUAAGUAAUCCUGGAAUUAGAAUGACGGAUCCACACAGACAUU